UACAGAGGUCUCAAGCGUUGUUCGGAUUCAUUGGGCGUAAAGGGCGCGUAGGCGGCGGGGUAAGUCGGGUGUGAAAUCUCAGAGCUCAACUCCGAAACUGCAUUCGAUACUGCGGUGCUUGAGGACUGGAGAGGAGACUGGAAUUCAUGGUGUAGCAGUGAAAUGCGUAGAGAUCAUGAGGAAGACCAGUGGCGAAGGCGGGUCUCUGGACAGUUCCUGACACUGAGGCACGAAGGCCAGGGGGGCAAACGGG
Molecule: ribosomal RNA, 253 nt
Filed under: uncultured bacterium
Lineage: Bacteria
Description: partial 16S ribosomal RNA
Rfam family: Bacterial small subunit ribosomal RNA
Source: RNAcentral